RNAcentral lists this transfer RNA (72 nucleotides) under Polyangiaceae bacterium. RNAcentral describes it as "tRNA-Met". It matches the Rfam family "tRNA". Rfam says of the family: Transfer RNA (tRNA) molecules are approximately 80 nucleotides in length. Their secondary structure includes four short double-helical elements and three loops (D, anti-codon, and T loops). The record is from RNAcentral. Lineage: Bacteria; Pseudomonadati; Myxococcota; Polyangiales; Polyangiaceae.
CGCGACGGCUCAAGGCGAGAGGCGGCUCUCAUAAGGCUGACCGCGAGGGUUCAAUUCCCUCCGUCGCGACCA